RNAcentral lists this ribosomal RNA (2496 nucleotides) under Streptococcus pneumoniae. Its description in RNAcentral is "bacterial LSU rRNA". It matches the Rfam family "Bacterial large subunit ribosomal RNA", at positions 3 to 2498 of the family's 2925-position model. Lineage: Bacteria; Bacillati; Bacillota; Bacilli; Lactobacillales; Streptococcaceae. The record is from RNAcentral.
UUAAGUUAUUAAGGGCGCACGGUGGAUGCCUUGGCACUAGAAGCCGAUGAAGGACGUUACUAACGACGAUAUGCUUUGGGGAGCUGUAAGUAAGCGUUGAUCCAGAGAUUUCCGAAUGGGGAAACCCAGCAUGAGUUAUGUCAUGUUAUCGAUAUGUGAAUACAUAGCAUAUCAGAAGGCAGACCCGGAGAACUGAAACAUCUUAGUACCCGGAGGAAGAGAAAGAAAAAUCGAUUCCCUGAGUAGCGGCGAGCGAAACGGGAAGAGCCCAAACCAACAAGCUUGCUUGUUGGGGUUGUAGGACACUCUAUACGGAGUUACAAAAGUAUAUAUUAGACGAAUCAUCUGGAAAGUUGAAUCAAAGAAGGUAAUAAUCCUGUAGUCGAAAAUAUAUACUCUCUUGAGUGGAUCCUGAGUACGACGGAGCACGUGAAAUUCCGUCGGAAUCUGGGAGGACCAUCUCCUAAGGCUAAAUACUCUCUAGUGACCGAUAGUGAACCAGUACCGUGAGGGAAAGGUGAAAAGUACCCCGGAAGGGGAGUGAAAGAGAACUUGAAACCGUGUGCUUACAAGUAGUCAGAGCCCGUUAAUGGGUGAUGGCGUGCCUUUUGUAGAAUGAACCGGCGAGUUACGAUUUGAUGCAAGGUUAAGCAGCUAAUGUGGAGCCGUAGCGAAAGCGAGUCUGAAUAGGGCGUUUAGUAUUUGGUCGUAGACCCGAAACCAGGUGAUCUACCCUUGGUCAGGUUGAAGUUCAGGUAACACUGAAUGGAGGACCGAACCGACUUACGUUGAAAAGUGAGCGGAUGAACUGAGGGUAGCGGAGAAAUUCCAAUCGAACUUGGAGAUAGCUGGUUCUCUCCGAAAUAGCUUUAGGGCUAGCCUCAAGUGAUGAUUAUUGGAGGUAGAGCACUGUUUGGACGAGGGGCCCUUCUCGGGUUACCGAAUUCAGACAAACUCCGAAUGCCAAUCAAUUUAACUUGGGAGUCAGAACAUGGGUGAUAAGGUCCGUGUUCGAAAGGGAAACAGCCCAGACCACCAGCUAAGGUCCCAAAAUAUAUGUUAAGUGGAAAAGGAUGUGGCGUUGCCCAGACAACUAGGAUGUUGGCUUAGAAGCAGCCAUCAUUUAAAGAGUGCGUAAUAGCUCACUAGUCGAGUGACACUGCGCCGAAAAUGUACCGGGGCUAAACAUAUUACCGAAGCUGUGGAUUGUCCGUAGGACAAUGGUAGGAGAGCGUUCUAAGGGCGUCGAAGCAUGAUCGCAAGGACAUGUGGAGCGCUUAGAAGUGAGAAUGCCGGUGUGAGUAGCGAAAGACGGGUGAGAAUCCCGUCCACCGAUUGACUAAGGUUUCCAGAGGAAGGCUCGUCCGCUCUGGGUUAGUCGGGUCCUAAGCUGAGGCCGACAGGCGUAGGCGAUGGAUAACAGGUUGAUAUUCCUGUACCACCUAGUAUCGUUUUAAUCGAUGGGGGGACGCAGUAGGAUAGGCGAAGCGUGCUAUUGGAUUGCACGUCCAAGCAGUAAGACUGAGUGUUAGGCAAAUCCGGCACUCAUAAGGUCAAGCUGUGAUGGGGAGAGGAAAUUGUUUCCUCGAGUCGUUGAUUUCACACUGCCAAGAAAAGCCUCUAGAUAGAUAACAGGUGCCCGUACCGCAAACCGACACAGGUAGUCAAGAUGAGAAUUCUAAGGUGAGCGAGCGAACUCUCGUUAAGGAACUCGGCAAAAUGACCCCGUAACUUCGGGAGAAGGGGUGCUCUUUAGGGUUAACGCCCAGAAGAGCCGCAGUGAAUAGGCCCAAGCGACUGUUUAUCAAAAACACAGGUCUCUGCUAAACCGUAAGGUGAUGUAUAGGGGCUGACGCCUGCCCGGUGCUGGAAGGUUAAGAGGAGUAGUUAGCUUCUGCGAAGCUACGAAUCGAAGCCCCAGUAAACGGCGGCCGUAACUAUAACGGUCCUAAGGUAGCGAAAUUCCUUGUCGGGUAAGUUCCGACCCGCACGAAAGGCGUAACGAUUUGGGCACUGUCUCAACGAGAGACUCGGUGAAAUCAUAGUACCUGUGAAGAUGCAGGUUACCCGCGACAGGACGGAAAGACCCCGUGGAGCUUUACUGUAGCCUGAUAUUGAAAUUCGGCACAGCUUGUACAGGAUAGGUAGGAGCCUUUGAAACGUGAGCGCUAGCUUACGUGGAGGCAUUGGUGGGAUACUACCCUAGCUGUGUUGGCUUUCUAACCCGCACCACUUAUCGUGGUGGGAGACAGUGUCAGGUGGGCAGUUUGACUGGGGCGGUCGCCUCCUAAAAGGUAACGGAGGCGCUCAAAGGUUCCCUCAGAAUGGUUGGAAAUCAUUCAUAGAGUGUAAAGGCAUAAGGGAGCUUGACUGCGAGACUUACAAGUCGAGCAGGGUCGAAAGACGGACUUAGUGAUCCGGUGGUUCCGCAUGGAAGGGCCAUCGCUCAACGGAUAAAAGCUACCCCGGGGAUAACAGGCUUAUCUCCCCCAAGAG